Molecule: microRNA, 23 nt
Filed under: Caenorhabditis remanei
Lineage: Eukaryota; Metazoa; Nematoda; Chromadorea; Rhabditida; Rhabditidae
Description: crm-miR-67-5p
Gene: crm-miR-67-5p
Source: miRBase by way of RNAcentral
AACUCGUUCUGCUGGUUGUUAUG